UACGUAGGUGGCAAGCGUUAUCCGGAUUUAUUGGGUUUAAAGGGAGCGUAGGUGGAUUGUUAAGUCAGUUGUGAAAGUUUGCGGCUCAACCGUAAAAUUGCAGUUGAAACUGGCAGUCUUGCGUACAGUAGAGGUGGGCGGAAUUCGUGGUGUAGCGGUGAAAUGCAUAGAUAUCACGCAGAACUCCGAUUGCGAAGGCAGCAUACCGGCGCUCAACUGACGCUCAUGCACGAAAGCGUGGGUAUCGAACAGG
RNAcentral lists this ribosomal RNA (253 nucleotides) under uncultured Bacteroides sp. RNAcentral's name for it is "partial 16S ribosomal RNA". It matches the Rfam family "Bacterial small subunit ribosomal RNA", at positions 524 to 776 of the family's 1533-position model. Lineage: Bacteria; Pseudomonadati; Bacteroidota; Bacteroidia; Bacteroidales; Bacteroidaceae. The record is from RNAcentral.